Molecule: non-coding RNA, 144 nt
Organism: Gossypium raimondii (Peruvian cotton)
Lineage: Eukaryota; Viridiplantae; Streptophyta; Magnoliopsida; Malvales; Malvaceae
Source: Rfam
UAUUAAAAUUUUUAUCUAUAUUACCAUUAAAAAUUGAUGUAAUUGACAAAAUAAUCAAACAGUGACAUAUGUUGUGUCACGUAUACCUCUUGUUAACAUACAGAGGCCCGUUUUCAAUAGUAAAAUUGGAUGAAAUUUUUAAUA